GCAGAUGUGGAAAUGUCAAAACACAAACCGAAAACGUAAAAACUGCGAUAACAACGACGACAUAAAAUGUAAAGUAAAGCAAAGAAUUUGUGAGUGAACGAUUGUACUUUUCUUUAAUUAUUGAAAUAAUAUCAUAAGCAAAGUGCAAAAAUUAAAUAAAAAUACUAACAGUGAAUAUAUGGAUGAAACAAAAAAAUUCUCUAAACCAUAGGUGGUGCAGUUUUCGGUGAUAAAUUACAUCCAUAUGCAUAGAACUUAAAAUGUGUAUAAAAUAUUGUAAACAAUACUGCAUUAUUGAUACAAAAACAUGCAAUUAAAAAUGCGAAAACGUGUUUAAGCUUUAAAUGCAAAAAACGUGCGUAUAAAAAAUUUGCUAAGCAGAAUUCUGUUAUCGCAUUGAAUAAUUAAAACAAAUCUAUUUGAAAUAAAAAAACAAAAUAUUAUCUGCCAUUAAACUUUAAAUAAGUUUAUUUUCGCGAAACUUCACCAUAAAUUAUUUACUUUAUAAAAGCAAAAGAGAAUGACGAAUGUACAAAGCAAGUUUCUGACUCCAGUGCUAUGCACCUGCCAAGAAUUUCAACACCCAUGGACCAAACAUUGUGCAAAUGCUUCAGCUGGUCUGCUACUAGCUUCAAUACCAUAUUGCCUGCGCGUAUAUACAAUGGUAUAUAUGAUAUCGCUUAUGAUGCGACAUCGCAUACCUAAAAGAGACGAUCUCAUUAAGACAAUACGUGGGAUCUUGCAAUCCACAG
Molecule: long non-coding RNA, 752 nt
Organism: Teleopsis dalmanni
Lineage: Eukaryota; Metazoa; Arthropoda; Insecta; Diptera; Diopsidae
Exons: 3
Source: RefSeq, a predicted model, not a curated record